This 253-nucleotide ribosomal RNA is filed under the name uncultured bacterium. RNAcentral describes it as "partial 16S ribosomal RNA". It matches the Rfam family "Bacterial small subunit ribosomal RNA", at positions 524 to 776 of the family's 1533-position model. The record is from RNAcentral.
UACGGGGGGGGCAAGCGUUGUUCGGAAUUACUGGGCGUAAAGGGCUCGUAGGUGGCCAACUAAGUCAGACGUGAAAUCCCCAGGCUUAACCUGGGAACUGCGUCUGAUACUGGAUGGCUUGAAUUCGGGAGAGGGAUGCAGAAUUCCAGGUGUAGCGGUGAAAUGCGUAGAUAUCUGGAGGAACACCGGUGGCGAAGGCGGCAUCCUGGACCGGCAUUGACGCUGAGGCGCGAAAGCCAGGGGAGCAAACGGG